Molecule: long non-coding RNA, 1989 nt
Organism: Micropterus salmoides (largemouth bass)
Lineage: Eukaryota; Metazoa; Chordata; Actinopteri; Centrarchiformes; Centrarchidae
Exons: 4
Source: RefSeq, a predicted model, not a curated record
GUUACUCUCCUGACAGACGUCUCUCCAGGAUUGAAACAGAACUGCAGUGUGAUGGCGCUGCAGCAGAGAGAGAAAGAUCUGGGUGACCAUCUGAAACCAAUUAUGGCGGCGCUGCAGCCACCCAGAAACUCAGUGACGGAUGGGGAUCUUGUAUUUAUAGCUGGGGCGUCACUCGGGCCAGCUGAAACCCCAGAACUCCAUGUGAACCUGCUGAAAGGGAGGUGGCGUCCGGCCUGGAUAAACACAGUGUGAAGGGGAGCCGGGGACACAGCCUGUUGGUCCUAAAUGUGGAGGAAAAAUGUCCAGUAACUGGGCCUGUGGGGAACGAGCAGGGCCAAGGCUAACCCUAACAUAGGCUCACUGGGAGCAUGCAUAAGAGUAAAGUUGGAUCCAUGCUUCUCUGACCGACGUAUAGGUAACAGACAGGAUUUGGACCUGGGUCUUGCAAACAGGAAAUCAAUUUCCAGGGAGCUGUAUCCCCUUUGCAAGGCUGCAAAGUUUAAUUCACUUCUAAAUCAACCUACCAAGAAGCUGUGUUUGAAAAUAAAAGUUGAAAAUAACCGUAAAAUUGCUGCAAUAACCUAUAAGGAAGUGAUUUGCGAUUGAGUGGAUGUUAUCGUUAAAUGAAGUGCAGUUUUAAAUUACAUGUUAAACUGAGUAAACUGAGAGCAAAUUGACCUCAACUCUACAAGGGAAACAUUUGAGCUUUACAUGGACAUGCACUGCUACUUAUGUAUCCACCCUUCGUCCUGUACAUUCACCCCUCUGAAGAGGAAUGGAUAUCGCCCUUCAUGCUUUUUACCUCAUUGACUCUUUGUUCCCCCUUCAACUUUGACCGCUGAAAGGUUUAAGCACAGUCCAGGCAAGCAGCAGGGGUUCAUGGAAAUAAAACCCUUUUGAACUUGUUCUGGUUCAACUCCAUGGCCACUUGUUCUACGUCCCUCCCCAGUGCUACCUCACAACCUCCGGGAAGCAGUUAAUGCUUUAAUUGGCACUUAAUUAGUUAAUUAACCCCAGAGUUGUUGGGAGGGGAGGGGGGUAACAGGGUGAUGAGGGCUUGAGGGCGCAGGUGAGGGUGGAGAGGAUUGGCCCAAGGUGCUUCCUGUGUCACAUCACCAGCGGAGGUACCCAUCAACCCCUUUGAACUGGGACACAAACACUGGAAACACUUUCAUCGGGCCGAUGUCAUCACAGCCGGGUCCCAUGUAUAUGUAUGGGACUGUCUGAAAAUAUACAAAGUCCAAUUUGCCCGGGACAGACCAACCUCAGGAUAAUGAAUCACAUGUGAUGUGUAUCUGAUAUGCAGCCUGAGUCAUCACCAGAUGUUUUGACAGGAUUACUUCCAGUUCUGGAAAAGAACAGUGGAUUUUCAAAGAGAAACCAACAACGCUCCAUCAAGUGAGACAAAGGAAAGAAGUCAACAAACAUUUGCUGCCACGAUGAGUAAAACAUAAAAGUUUAUAAAUAUUCUGUACUGGAAUGCCCUCAGUUCCUCUGGAAGGCAGACCAAAGUGUUUCUCAUGUCUAUAAUUGGGGGUACACAUGCCAAAUGAGAGGAGUUUUGAGGUCAAGUACAGAAGAGGAAGUAACUUGGGCACCAGGCCUUCAGAUAAAAGCUUACAGGUGGAACUAAGUACAGUCCUACAUAUGUAGGCAAGCUGUGGCGCUUGUUUGUUCUGGUGUCUAUUUGUAUGCGGAAAAUGCAGCUCCCAGCGCAUAAUGUGUUUGCUCAGUCGAAGUAUAGCAUGUACUCUGGAUAGCAUUCCCUGUCUCUUUCACUUGGCAAAAACACAUGAACCUGUGUGAAUUUGUGAACCCAUGUGCAAACCUCAAAACACUGACAUACCCACACAAACGCGGAGAAACACACAUACACGUCUCUUGUUCUUUCUCACAUAUGCUUGUUGUUUCACUCGCAACUUACUUCAGGUCUCAUCCUGCUUGCUGUUUCCUUGGAAAUUAAUAACCUAGAAUAAAUUUUUUUCUUGG